UUUAGUUCACAUUUAACUUUGCCAGCUAAAAGUUCUAUAAAAAAUAAAUUCCAGAAUGAAGGCUUUCAUUUUUAUGGCACUAAUUGCUGCUCUUGUGGCCACUUCUUUGACUUUGAAAAACGAAAUCUGCGGUUUAACACAUUUUGCUGAUGGUUAUAAAAAACCACUCGUAUCCUGUCUGUCUCUUUUUCAUUAUUAUACAUAUAAUUCGACGCUUAAUAAGUGCGUCAUGUUCGAAUUUGGAGGCUGCGGGGGCAAUGCAAAUCGUUUUGAUUCAAAAUGGAGUUGCGAACAAAAAUGCCUGGAAUGAAGCCAAUGUUGAAAUCGAAAGAUGAUGAAUGAACUGCUUAAUUAAAGCAAUUAAAUCAAAUUAUUGUAUAAAUACAUAUAUACAUUCAGUUGAAUAAUCCCAGCCA
Molecule: long non-coding RNA, 416 nt
Organism: Drosophila serrata
Lineage: Eukaryota; Metazoa; Arthropoda; Insecta; Diptera; Drosophilidae
Source: RefSeq, a predicted model, not a curated record